CUUCAGCGACCCCAGCCAGAGCGGCCGCUGCGGAUCCCGGUCCCGGCCGUAGGUGGCCAGCAACGCCUGCGCCUC
RNAcentral lists this antisense RNA (75 nucleotides) under Micromonospora rifamycinica. RNAcentral's name for it is "ASpks TB sRNA". It matches the Rfam family "ASpks TB sRNA". The record is from RNAcentral. Lineage: Bacteria; Bacillati; Actinomycetota; Actinomycetes; Micromonosporales; Micromonosporaceae.